CGCGGCAGCCCCGGCAGCCCCGGCACGGUGGGCCGAAAGCCGGCGGCGAAGGAGCGCUCGCCGGGUUGCCGCCAGCGUCGUCCCCCGGCGCCGGGCCGGGCUCGGCUGCGAGCCCCCUCCCCGUCUCCCCGGCUCGGGUGGGGGCUUUUCCCGCUUCCCUUCUUUCUUUCCGUCCCUAUGGAGCAGUCGCCCUCGCCGGCCGACCAUGCCUAGGAAAGCGGGGAAUGGGCAGCUCCCCUUACCCGAUGGCUGGGAGGAGGCGAGGGAUUACGACGGCAAAGUCUUUUACAUCGACCACAACACCAAGCAGACCAGCUGGAUCGACCCCAGGGACAGGUUAACAAAACCCUUGUCGUUUGCGGACUGUGUUGGGGAUGAACUACCAUGGGGAUGGGAAGCUGCAUAUGAUCCCCAGAUUGGUGUGUACUACAUCGAUCACAUCAACCAAACAACACAAAUAGAAGAUCCCAGGAAACAAUGGAGGCAAGAACAAGAGAGAAUGCUGAAAGAUUAUCUUAUGGUAGCCCAGGAUGCUCUCAGUACUCAGAAGGAACUGUACCAGGUGAAAGAACAGAGGCUAGCACUUGCACUGGAUGAGUAUGUACGGUUGAAUGAUGCCUACAAAGAAAAAUCAAGCUCUCGUACAAGCUUAUUCUCAGGCUCUUCAUCAAGCACAAAGUAUGACCCUGAUAUUUUGAAGGCUGAAAUCUCCACUACAAGAUUAAGGGUUAAGAAGCUGAAGAGGGAGCUCUCUCAGAUGAAGCAGGAGCUGCUGUACAAGGAGCAGGGCUUUGAAACGCUGCAACAAAUUGACCAAAAAAUGUCUGGAGGCCAGAGCGGGUAUGAACUAUGUGAGGCUAAAGCCAUCCUGAGUGAACUGAAAUCCAUCAGAAAGGCGAUAAGUUCAGGAGAGAGAGAAAAACAAGAUUUAAUGAAGAGUCUUGCAAAACUGAAAGAGAAAUUCAAUCUUGACCAGAAUAUUGGGACAUCGGAACCAGACCUGAGUUCCAGCUCUGUAAAUUCCCAGCUGUGUUUUUCUAGACAAACUCUGGAUGCAGGGUCUCAGACUGACAUUUCUGGUGAGGUUGGAACAAGAAGUAGAUCCAAUUUAGCAGAGAAGGUCAGACUAAGUCUUCAAUAUGAAGAGGCAAAGAGAAGCAUGGCUAACUUGAAGAUCGAACUGUCUAAGUUAGAUAGUGAGGCCUGGCCUGGGGCGCUGGAUGUGGAAAAGGAAAAAUUGAUGUUAAUCAAUGAAAAAGAAGAGCUUUUAAAAGAACUCCAGUUUAUCACACCACGCAAACGUACUCAAGAUGAGCUAGAGCAGCUGGAAGCAGAAAGAAGGAGGCUUGAAGAAGAGCUGCACUCUGUAAAAAGCGAACCCAGUCAAGCACUUGCUGAAAGAUUGAGAUUGGAGGAAAGAAGAAAAGAAUUGGUACAGAAACUCGAAGAAACUACAAAAUUGACAACUUAUUUGCAUUCACAACUUAGGAGCCUCUCAGCUAGUACGCUGUCUGUGUCAUCAGGGAGCAGUCUGGGAUCUCUGGCAUCCAGCCGGGGAUCUCUGAACACAUCAAGCAGAGGGUCGCUCAACUCGCUCAGUUCCACGGAUCUCUAUUAUAACCAAGGCGAUCAAAUAACAGAUUUGGACUAUCAGUAUAAGCUUGACUUCCUAUUGCAAGAAAAAAGUGGUUACAUUCCUUCAGGGCCUAUCACUACUAUUCAUGAAAAUGAAGUGGUCAGUUCCCAUGGCAGACUAGGUUACAGUGACUCUCCUUCAGCCACAGACCAGCCCAAGCUGACUGAGCCUCCCAAAUCUGUGACAUCGCUGUCUUCCAGGUCUUCACUGUCCUCCUUGUCUCCUCCAGGCUCCCCUUUGGUUUUAGAAGCUGCAUUUUCUGUCUCUGCUCAAAAUUCCCCUCUGCAUCACCUCACUACAGACUUUGAAGACUGUGAUUUUGCAGGCAUCAGUCUCUGUGAGAACCAAAUAUUAUUGGACUCUGAAGCCAGAGCAGGAUCUCAGAUUCCUACAGACGAUAAGGGUCUUCAUGAAAGCAUUAGACAGCCUUUGUCUUCUCUGCAUGAAGGAAGUUCAGGUGUUGACUUGCCAAGAAGAGCAGCUAGUCAUCUCCUUGCAGAGAAGACAGCUUGUGUAUCUGCUGCUGUGUCUGAUGAGUCUGUAGCUGGAGAUAGUGGUGUAUACGAAGCUUCUGUGAAACAUCUAAAUGAAACCGAGGACAUUGUAUACAGUGAAGAUGAUGCAACAGCACUAGAGUCUGCCCAAGUUCAAAUAGGACUCAGAUAUGACCACAGCAAUUCAAGUUUUGUGAUAAUCAUAGUCCAGCUCAGAAAUCUGCCAGUGUUUUCUGUUCCCCUUGGCUCUAAAGUGUAUAUUAGAGUAGCAGUACUUCCAUCCUCAGCUGAUACCAGCUGUCUGUUCCGCACAAAAGUUCAUCCUGCCAUGGAAACCAUUUUACUCAACGAGAUAUUCAGAGUUGCCAUUUCCCAAGGAACACUGCUACAGAAGACACUGAGAGUAGAUGUUUGUGCGGUCAGUCGAAGCCGUCGGGAAGAAUGCUUGGCUGGAACUCAGAUCAGUCUGGCAGAUUUAUCAUUUUCUGAUGAGACUUGUGCGCUGUGGUAUAACCUUCUGUCUUGCAAGCAAAUCCCUGGCAAAAAAAAAAAGGAUCAGAAUGAGGAACCCAUGUUUCUUUUAAGCAAGCAGUCAUCAGACUCAUUGGACUUGGAUGCUGUGUCAGCUCUGCUGGAGAGAACAUCCGCUGAGCUGGAAGCAGUAGAACAAGAGCUGGCUGAAGAUGAGGAGGAAGAGGAUGAACAGGAGGAAAGGGGCUCUGAGGAAGACUGGUUAGAAAUGCUUGCAGAAGCAUCUGAUGAAAUUGGGGAUGAAGAGGAAGAUGGCAUUAAGCUGGCAGUAGAAGGCAACUGUACCGAUGACACGGGGUUAUUCAUUGAUGCAGGAGAAACUGAGGAAGAUGAGAACAGACAGAACAGAGAUGAGGCCCAUGAAAGCCAGCAAGCUGCCGUCAUACUAACACUGGUUGAUAAAGAGACUAACACUGAGGAAUCAGUUAACGAGGAUGCAACAGUCCGACCCAAGGACAGAGCCAGCUGGAGCUCAAGACAGCGUCCCUUUGUCAGGAACAGCAUGAUUGUGCGCUCACAAACCUUCUCGCCAGGCGAGCGGAACCAAUACAUCUGUAGGUUGAGUCGAAGUGACAGUGACAGCUCAACGCUAGCCAAAAAGUCUCUCUUUGUGAGGAAUGCCACAGAAAGGAGGAGCCUAAGAGUCAAACGGCCUGUUUGCCAGCCAAUCAUGCGAAGAGCUACGCAAGAAUGCCCUGUGCGCACUUCCCUCGACUUGGAGCUGGACCUCCAGGCAUCACGCACACGACAGAAUCGACUGAAUGAUGAGCUUCAGGCCUUGCGGGAUCUUAAGCAGAAGCUUGAAGAAAUGAAAGGUAGAGGAGAGACAGACCUUCCCCUGUGUGUACUGGAGGAUGAACGAUUCCAGAAACUCCUGAAACAGGCUGAGAAACAGUUAUUUUACAGGCUGAGCAGUCAAAAGAAGAGCAGAAGCGAGGCUUAAGUGCUGAGAAACUGAUGAGGAAAGCUUCGAAGGAUGUAUGCCGGCUACGGGAGCAGAGUCAGAAAGUGCCACUACAGGUGCAAUCAUUCAGGGAGAAGAUAGCAUAUUUCACAAGAGCAAAGAUCAGUAUACCAGCCCUUCCAGCUGAUGAUGUAUAAUCGUGCAUAUUCAUUCAAAUGUUUUUCCCAUUGCCCAUUUUUUUUUUUUCAGAUGAACUUUGUAUUUCUAGUGACCUGCUUUUACAGCUCUUCUAUUUUACAUUCAAUAUUGAUACGUUUAUUUGUAAAAUACAGCACAUAGAAUUGUUGUACGUCUAAAAAAAUGACAAAAAAAAAAAAAAAGGAAAACCAAAGUAGAUCAAUUUUGGUAUACUGAUGCUGAUUUUGUACAGUUUGUAUGUAUUGCAUGUGUUUUUAUUUUGUAAAGAUGGAACAAAGGAACAAAGGCAGUACUGAGCGUGUAUCCUGUUGAACCGCACUGUAUUGAGAAAUAUUACGUUCAACAGAAGAUUGUUUAUCUUUUCACUAUUUUCAUGUGAGCAGACUGUGAAGAUGGCUGUUUUGCCAUGCAAUAUUUUUGUAUAAGAGUGUGACUUUUGUAGUUUGAAGUUAACUACAAGUGUAAGUUUCUUUCCAAAACAUCAAGGCUGCCUCACAACAGCUGCUAAUUAGAUUCAUCACCCAUAUUGGAGUUUUUGUUUCUGAAAAAAAAUUUCUUCUGUUCUUGUUCUGUAAUACUGUGUAGGGAGAGACAAAACUCAAUUCUGUGAAUGUACAGUACUUUAACCUGCACUAAAAGGUUUCUUGCAUCUGUGGGAGAGUGGGGAAAGACAAGGCAGACAAGCAACCCUAAAAACUUCCUGUGAGACUAGUGAAAGGGCAGCUGCUUUCUGAACUGGACGCUGAAUCAAAUUGGUAAUACCAACAGUGAAAUCAGAAUAGUUAUAUCUACUGUACACUUAGGAUGAGUUUCUCUGUAUCAGUCUUCUGUCCUAGAGGCUGCCUUAUUGCCAGCUAAGAGAAUAUGAAAGUGUUCAUUAGGUUUACAGUUAUGAAGAGGAUUUUAUGAAAGUAUUUGUACCAGGGGAAAAGUUUGUCCCCAGUAACUUGGAUAUCAGAAGCUUGUUGAAGUAAACUCUGUCUGGAAAAGUAAAGAUCCUGACUAGAAGGCACCAUGUAUCUCAAUACAAUCACGUUAUCCACGUAUGCAUGGCCUUAAUGUCUCAAAAGAGUUAUAAUUGGUGAGAAAAUGGAAGUGAAUAUAACUAACGUUAUGGUAGCAGCUGUCUGAAAUUCACAGUGACAAUUCUGUGAUGAGAGAUCUGUGUAAGAUCUGUGUAAGCCUUCCCCAAGGGCUUUCUUAUGCACAAAUACAUCAGUUCACUUAAACAUAUAGCCAGAUGUGCUGUUUGGGGCAAGAUGCUGGUUAAACAUCAUUUAAGAAUGCCUCACUUGUUUUUUCUUGGUUGGGUUUGAGAUAUUUUGAGAUAUAUUUGAAAGGUCAAUUAAAAAAAAAAAUCUGGAAUUAUUUAAUGUAGAGGUGAAAUGAAGGUAACAGUUUCAACUUCUCAAUUUGAUUAUAUGUUUGUAGAAUGAUGUUUAGAGAUGUACUCUGUGAUUUUUCUUUUAUUUAUUUACAGUCUUAUUUAUGUUGUGUUUAAUAUAGUUCAGUUCUGGCCAUAAAAAUAUUUCACAUGUGAUGCUAUUGUGAAAAGUAUUUAGAGCUGUCUGAAUUCUUGCCAGAUAAGCUGUUUUUCCUCACGUGUUGAAUAAUUUUCAAAAAAGUAUUAUCAUAUAUUUGUAAGCAUGGAGUAAGGUCAAAAUUUAAGGAUUGUUGGCCUUAGCUCACAAAACUCAUUGCAAAAUGUGUCUUGUUUUCCAAAUUGGUAAAGUUAAAUAUAUUUUUAGGCAGCUUUUAACAAUUCUGCUUUUUUUUUUUUAAAUAAAUUUAAAUUAUUCGACCUCAAAACACUGAAUAGAAUAAGCUAACACAUACAAAUAAUCCUGUCAGUUUACAAUUAUAGAUAUUACUCAAAGUAGAAUUUACUCUGCACAGCAGAGUGUAACAAAUGCAAUUAGUUCUGUUUCCAGGUACCACUAUCACUGCGGUUGCAGAUAUCAAAAUUAAACAUUACUGGUACAAGAAUAUUUAACCAAAUGAGCAAAGGUUAGAAAAAAAUUGUAAUAGAAGGCAAAUCAAAUAAGAUUUUUUUAAAAAAUAUUGCUAUGUUUGUGCUGUAUUAAAUAUCAAAUGCUCAGGACUGAACUAAAUAUUUAAUCAGGUUAUAUGCUGAAUGUGGUUCUGUUCUAAUUUUGUCUGUAAAAGUAUGCAAAUACAUCACGUAGAUUAACUUGUCUCUGCACUUUCCAUGUGUUUCAAUGAUUGGAAAAUACAUUUUUUUUUUAACAAA
This is an RNA transcript of Tympanuchus pallidicinctus (lesser prairie-chicken), 6014 nucleotides long. It is a transcript of the gene named WW and C2 domain containing 2, with no coding region annotated. NCBI's taxonomy places the organism in Eukaryota, Metazoa, Chordata, Aves, Galliformes, Phasianidae. The transcript is spliced from 23 exons. The record is from RefSeq and is a predicted model, not a curated record.